UCAUAGCUCAAUUGGAUAGAGCAUCAGACUUCGGAUCUGAGGGUUGGGGGUUCGACUCCCUCUGA
This 65-nucleotide transfer RNA is filed under the name Helicobacter rodentium. It matches the Rfam family "tRNA", at positions 5 to 66 of the family's 71-position model. From Rfam's summary of the family: Transfer RNA (tRNA) molecules are approximately 80 nucleotides in length. Their secondary structure includes four short double-helical elements and three loops (D, anti-codon, and T loops). Lineage: Bacteria; Pseudomonadati; Campylobacterota; Epsilonproteobacteria; Campylobacterales; Helicobacteraceae. RNAcentral also lists the same sequence under 3 other names. The record is from RNAcentral.